Molecule: ribosomal RNA, 305 nt
Filed under: uncultured bacterium
Lineage: Bacteria
Description: bacterial SSU rRNA
Rfam family: Bacterial small subunit ribosomal RNA
Source: RNAcentral
CCUACGGGGGGCAGCAGUAAGGAAUCUUCCACAAUGGGCGAAAGCCUGAUGGAGCAACGCCGCGUGGGUGAAGAAGGUUUUCGGAUUGUAAACCUCUGUCCUCUGUGAAGAUAAUGACGGUAGCAGAGGAGGAAGCUCCGGCUAACUACGUGCCAGCAGCCGCGGUAAUACGUAGGGAGCAAGCGUUGUCCGGAUUUACUGGGUGUAAAGGGUGCGUAGGCGGCUUUGCAAGUCAGAAGUGAAAUCCAUGGGCUUAACCCAUGAACUGCUUUUGAAACUGCAGAGCUUGAGUGGAGUAGAGGUAG